RNAcentral lists this ribosomal RNA (800 nucleotides) under uncultured bacterium. Its description in RNAcentral is "bacterial SSU rRNA". It matches the Rfam family "Bacterial small subunit ribosomal RNA", at positions 8 to 812 of the family's 1533-position model. The record is from RNAcentral.
AGAGUUUGAUCAUGGCUCAGGAUAAACGCUGGCGGCGCACAUAAGACAUGCAAGUCGAACGAACUUAACCGAAUAGUUUACUUUUUGGAGCGGUUAGUGGCGGACUGGUGAGUAACACGUAAGCAACCUGCCUAUCAGAGGGGAACAACAGUUAGAAAUGACUGCUAAUACCGCAUAUGCCAUGAGUAUCGCAUGAUACAAGUGGGAAAGGAGCAAUCCGCUGAUAGAUGGGCUUGCGACUGAUUAGCUAGUUGGUGUGGUAACGGCAUACCAAGGCGACGAUCAGUAGCCGGACUGAGAGGUUGAACGGCCACAUUGGGACUGAGAUACGGCCCAGACUCCUACGGGAGGCAGCAGUCGGGAAUAUUGCGCAAUGGAGGGGACUCUGACGCAGUGACGCCGCGUGCAGGAAGAAGGUUUUCGGAUUGUAAACUGCUUUAGACAGGGAAGAAUAAUGACAGUACCUGUAGAAUAAGCUCCGGCUAACUACGUGCCAGCAGCCGCGGUAAUACGUAGGGAGCGAGCGUUAUCCGGAUUUAUUGGGUGUAAAGGGUGCGUAGACGGGAAGUUAAGUUAGUUGUGAAAUCCCUCGGGCUCAACUGAGGAAUUGCAACUGAAACUGAUUUUCUUUGAGUGCUGGAGAGGAAAGUGGAAUUCCUAGUGUAGCGGUGAAAUGCGUAGAUAUUAGGAGGAACACCAGUGGCGAAGGCGACUUUCUGGACAGUAACUGACGUUGAGGCACGAAAGCGUGGGGAGCAAACAGGAUUAGAUACCCUGGUAGUCCACGCUGUAAACGAUGG